Molecule: non-coding RNA, 525 nt
Organism: Cinara cedri
Lineage: Eukaryota; Metazoa; Arthropoda; Insecta; Hemiptera; Aphididae
Source: the annotation of a GenBank genome assembly
UUUUUGACCUCUUUGCACAACGUAUUUUGUAUACAAUAGUAUUCUGAUACGUAGUUGAUAUAAGUGCAAGCGUGUGCAAGACCUGAUUUAAAAAAACAGAAACUUAUUUGUGCACAACUUAUUUUGAGGUCUUUUUCAAAUAAAGAAACCAAAAUGUUAUAUAAAGGUCAUCGGCAAAAUGUACGCCACUAAAGUGCAACAACCUCAAAUAUGAGUAGCCAGUACGGACGUGUUAUUAAAUACUUAGUCGUUUAUCUACCGAAAAUAUCUUUAAAGAAUACUAUUUGUAUUCAUUUUAGAUUAUGAAUGGAGCGAAAAAGCGUUUGGUUUUAAAAUUAUGUUUAUACUUUUUUUCCGUGGACAACUUUUCUACCAGCAAUUUUGCUACAAAUUACAAUGAUAGCACAUUUGCUGAAAGUAAAUCGGACUGGGACGGUACUUUAGAAAGGCCAUCUCUUGAUAGUCUUAAGAUUUUUCCCGAUAAAUGGACAGUAUAAAGGAAAACGCAAGAAAACUGAAAGAACG